RNAcentral lists this transfer RNA (88 nucleotides) under Pseudomonas phage UAVern. RNAcentral's name for it is "tRNA-Asn". It matches the Rfam family "tRNA". Rfam says of the family: Transfer RNA (tRNA) molecules are approximately 80 nucleotides in length. Their secondary structure includes four short double-helical elements and three loops (D, anti-codon, and T loops). Further hydrogen bonds mediate the characteristic L-shaped molecular structure. tRNAs have two regions of fundamental functional importance: the anti-codon, which is responsible for specific mRNA codon recognition, and the 3' end, to which the tRNAs corresponding amino acid is attached (by aminoacyl-tRNA synthetases). tRNAs cope with the degeneracy of the genetic code in two manners: having more than one tRNA (with a specific anti-codon) for a particular amino acid; and 'wobble' base-pairing, i.e. permitting non-standard base-pairing at the 3rd anti-codon position. Lineage: Duplodnaviria; Heunggongvirae; Uroviricota; Caudoviricetes; Vandenendeviridae. The record is from RNAcentral.
UGGUGAGUAAGCAUAGCGGUACUGCGGCGGGCUGUUAACCCGUUUUCUCGGAAGAGUCUCGUUGGUUCGAAUCCAACCUCACCAGCCA